GUGUAAGUAAAGAUGCAGCCUAUUGUUUGUAUUGUUAUCUAUUUAAAGAUAAUAAUAUUCAUCAAGGUGGAGGUGAUGUAUUUUCAAGUAUAGGGUUUAAGAGUUGGCAUAAAAAGAAAAGGUUUGAUAAACAUGGAUCUAGUAGCAUUCACAAUGAGUCAAAAAAGAAAUGCUAAGAUUUGCAACAACAACGGUUUAUUCAAUCAUCAUUUGAGAGGUAAUCUAAUCAAAUGGAUGUGAUGUAUUUUCAAGUAUAGGAUUUAAGAAUUGGCAUAAAAAGAAUAGUUUUGAUAAACAUGGGUCAAGUGACAUUCACAAUGAGUCAAAAAUGAAAUGCCAAGAUUUGCAGCAAUAACGGUCUAUUCAAUCUUCAUUUGAG
RNAcentral lists this long non-coding RNA (379 nucleotides) under Nicotiana benthamiana. RNAcentral's name for it is "long non-coding RNA (NBEN_LNC013592)". The record is from RNAcentral. Lineage: Eukaryota; Viridiplantae; Streptophyta; Magnoliopsida; Solanales; Solanaceae.